CUCACUGUUGUUGCUGGCAGAAUACGUACACCAAUGCGGACAAGCUCCUAGAAGCAGCAGAGCAGUUGGCUCAGACGGGGGAAUGUGACCCCGAGGAGAUCUACAAGGCAGCUCGACACCUGGAGGUGCGCAUCCAAGACUUCGUGCGCAGGGUGGAGCAGCGGAAGCUUCUCCUGGACAUGUCUGUUUCCUUCCACACACACACCAAAGAGUUGUGGACAUGGAUGGAAGACCUUCAGAAGGAGAUGUUGGAGGAUGUCUGUGCAGAUUCUGUGGAUGCAGUCCAGGAACUGAUCAAGCAGUUCCAGCAGCAGCAGACCGCCACUCUAGAUGCCACACUCAAUGUCAUCAAGGAAGGCGAAGACCUUAUCCAGCAGCUCAGGGACUCGGCUGUGUCCAACAACAAAACACCCCACAGCAGCUCCAUCAGCCACAUCGAGUCGGUCCUGCAGCAGCUUGAUGAUGCCCAGGUGCAGAUGGAGGAGCUGUUCCACGAGCGGAAGAUCAAGCUGGACAUCUUCCUGCAACUGCGCAUCUUUGAGCAGUACACCAUCGAGGUGACAGCAGAGCUAGACGCCUGGAAUGAAGACUUGCUUCGGCAGAUGAAUGACUUCAACACAGAGGACCUAACCCUGGCAGAACAGCGGCUGCAGCGCCACACAGAACGGAAGCUAGCCAUGAACAACAUGACCUUUGAGGUUAUCCAGCAGGGACAGGAUCUGCACCAGUACAUCAUGGAGGUCCAGGCAUCAGGAAUUGAGUUGAUCUGUGAAAAAGACAUUGAUCUGGCAGCCCAGGUGCAAGAGUUAUUGGAAUUUCUCCAUGAGAAGCAGCAUGAAUUGGAGCUCAAUGCGGAGCAGACUCAUAAGCGGCUAGAGCAGUGCCUCCAAUUACGUCACCUCCAGGCUGAAGUCAAACAGGUUCUGGGAUGGAUCCGCAAUGGAGAGUCAAUGCUCAACGCCAGCCUGGUCAAUGCCAGCUCUUUGUCGGAAGCAGAGCAGCUGCAGCGGGAGCACGAGCAGUUCCAACUGGCCAUCGAGUCCCUCUUUCAUGCCACUUCCUUGCAGAAGACGCACCAGAGUGCCCUGCAGGUACAGCAGAAGGCCGAGGUGCUGCUCCAGGCCGGCCACUACGAUGCCGAUGCCAUCCGGGAAUGUGCUGAGAAGGUGGCCCUCCACUGGCAGCAGCUCAUGCUGAAGAUGGAAGACCGAUUAAAAUUGGUCAAUGCCUCUGUGGCCUUUUACAAAACUUCUGAACAGGUGUGUAGUGUCCUGGAGAGCUUAGAGCAAGAAUACCGGAGAGAUGAGGACUGGUGUGGUGGACGAGAUAAGCUGGGGCCAGCGGCAGAGAUCGACCAUGUCAUUCCCCUCAUCAGCAAACAUUUGGAACAAAAGGAGGCCUUUCUUAAGGCCUGCACCCUGGCUCGGCGGAAUGCUGAGGUGUUUCUCAAGUACAUCCACAGGAACAACGUCAGCAUGCCCAGUGUCGCCAGCCACACUCGGGGACCCGAGCAACAAGUGAAAGCCAUCCUGAGUGAGCUCCUGCAGAGGGAGAAUCGUGUGCUGCAUUUCUGGACCUUGAAGAAGCGGCGGUUAGACCAAUGCCAGCAAUAUGUGGUGUUCGAGCGCAGCGCUAAGCAGGCGCUUGACUGGAUCCAAGAAACAGGUGAAUUUUACCUCUCAACACAUACCUCCACUGGAGAGACCACAGAGGAGACUCAGGAACUGCUGAAAGAAUAUGGGGAAUUCAGGGUGCCUGCCAAGCAAACAAAGGAGAAGGUGAAGCUUCUGAUUCAGCUGGCCGAUAGCUUUGUGGAAAAAGGCCACAUUCAUGCCACGGAGAUAAGGAAAUGGGUGACCACGGUGGACAAGCACUACAGAGAUUUCUCCCUGAGGAUGGGAAAGUACCGAUACUCACUGGAGAAAGCCCUAGGAGUCAACACAGAGGAUAAUAAGGACCUGGAGCUGGAUAUUAUCCCAGCAAGCCUUUCGGAUCGGGAGGUCAAGCUGCGGGACGCCAACCACGAAGUCAAUGAAGAGAAGCGGAAGUCAGCCCGGAAGAAAGAAUUUAUUAUGGCUGAACUACUCCAGACAGAGAAGGCUUAUGUAAGGGAUUUGCAUGAGUGCUUAGAGACCUACCUGUGGGAAAUGACCAGUGGUGUGGAGGAGAUCCCCCCUGGGAUCCUCAAUAAAGAGCAUAUCAUCUUUGGCAACAUCCAAGAGAUCUACGAUUUCCAUAACAACAUCUUCCUCAAAGAGCUGGAGAAGUAUGAGCAACUGCCUGAGGAUGUGGGACACUGCUUUGUUACCUGGGCAGACAAAUUUCAGAUGUAUGUCACCUACUGUAAAAACAAGCCUGAUUCCAACCAGCUUAUCCUGGAGCAUGCGGGCACCUUCUUUGAUGAGAUACAACAGCGGCAUGGUCUGGCCAACUCCAUCUCUUCCUACCUAAUUAAGCCUGUCCAAAGGAUCACCAAAUAUCAACUGCUCCUGAAGGAACUUUUAACUUGCUGUGAAGAAGGGAAAGGGGAGCUCAAGGAUGGCCUGGAGGUGAUGCUCAGUGUCCCAAAGAAAGCCAAUGAUGCCAUGCAUGUCAGCAUGCUGGAAGGUAGCUGUCCUCCCAGCACUGGGGAAGCCUCCUCUCUUCCUUGACACGGGGGAGCUUGUAUCAUGGGAGGGAAGUGGCAUGAAGUUAGACAAGGUGCAAGGCUGGAAGAGAGAAGAAAUGACAAAUAGUUACAUAGGCCCUUGUCAUGUGAGAGGGGCUCCACAAGGACCAAUUUGGCUAGCACCCUGCUUCUAGGAAGGACCAGGCCUAAGCCACUGGAGGUUAUGUGGACAUGUUGCUGCCCAUGAGACAGUCCAGGACAGGCCAUCACCCUCACUGUUGGUGUGCUAGAGCUUCCAACCUACAGCAGUCUUGUUAGUCUGCAUAGCAUCUGCAUUACAUUGCCUUGGUCAUCACAAUGAAUAGAAAGCCUGAUCACAUAAACACACACAGACACACAUACACACAAAACAUACCAUCUUCAGCCUUAUGCUCUUUUUUUGUUAUUAUGGUAAAAUAUACAUAAUAUGUAUAACAUAAAUUUACCAUUUUAACCAUUUUUGAAUGUACAGUUCGGUGGCAUUAAAUACAUUCACAUUCUUGUGCAACC
This 3157-nucleotide small RNA is filed under the name Pan troglodytes (chimpanzee). Its description in RNAcentral is "retained intron". The record is from RNAcentral. Lineage: Eukaryota; Metazoa; Chordata; Mammalia; Primates; Hominidae.